GAAGCUUAUAAUGUUUUGUUUUAUUUUUAGCCGCAGUUCUUUUCCUUCGGUACAACUGUACAAAGUGUUAAAGAAAACGCGAUGCCGCUUUGGCACGGGCUUCCUGUGUGUUCUGUCUCCCCUGUUGGCGCGCCCAGCCUUCCUCGCUGCGAACGUUCCGUCUAUGCCUGCGACUGAGACAGGAAGCCAGACACACAUGCUGAAAUAAUUUCAACAAAUAUCAACUCAAAACCAACUUGAAGCAGCCGAAAAAGGCAGGGCUGGUUGGGGCUGCGUCCCCCCCCCCCCCCCCCCAGCCUGGUGCCGAGCUGACCGCACCGGCUGCGCGACGUUCAUCCAAAGCCUUCUUCCUUGAGGGUCCGUGCAUUCGCCUGUCCGGCGACCCGGCAGGUGCCGGUUUCGGCCGCCUGGCACCCAAACCCCCCUCUUGGGCGAAAUCACCCCAGUUUUCCUCCGGACAACGCUCGCUCUCCCUCCUCCGCGCAGGUGGAGUGCAGAGAGCCGGCCCCGCCUCCAGGGCGUGUGACUGAAACCUGGCCAAUCAGAGCAUGCUUUCCCUGGCCAAUCAGAGCAGGGCAGAGGGGCUGCACUGAUUGGCUCGGCUUGGGGCACAUGAUCGCCGCCAGGCCAAUGGGAUCCAGUUCUGGGACUUUGGCUGGCAGAAUUAGAAAGGAAUUUCUUCCCACUUGAUUCAGAGCAGUGAGAAAAGGAGCCUGGGGAGAAGCUGGGUACCGGGAGGGGAGAAUCUACUUGAAAGGGACAUCAGUAAGGGGGAGCGUCCUUUGAUGGUGGAGACAGACAUCUUCCUAACGUCACAGCGUGCCCGUCUGGAUCUGGCGGCAAAUAAUCUCGCCCCGCUCUCCCUGGUGCUUUUGAGUUACAAGAGUCAACGAUUCCCUCUUCUGCUAAAACCAGCCUGAGUCGGGUUUGGCUCUCUUAUUAGAGGAAGAAUUAACAGAUUCCAAGGCAGCGCUCUGCCGGGCUGUACGGGGGCCCUGCUAAGUCUCCUCCUGGACUUUGCCCACGCAGGCACCUGGUUCGCUCUCUCGCCUCCUUCCCCCCCUAACAUCUCCGGGCUUGAAAUCCAGCCUCCCCUCACCCUGACAGCACACUCUCCUGCCCUCACUGGACAUGGUGCUGUGGUGCCAGUCUGUCUCUAGAACCAGAAGGUGGGAUCCUUGAGGUCAGAGGUUGGGCCUUGUGUGCUGGCACCCCCGAGCAUGCGGCUGUGCUAAAAAAAAAAAAAAAAAAAAAAAAAGUCAGAUGAUUGAGAGAUGAGACCUCCCCAAACAAGCAGCCAAUUUCAGUCAAGAACUUGGCACAGGGCUUUCACCUAGUACUAGUAGGUAAUAGGCAUUCUGAUUUCUACCUUUAUUCUGGACCGAUUCAGCUCUAUCUGCUUGAGCUGAAGGCAAGGUGUGGGGAGGGUCUCCUUUUCGUUUAGAACCCGAGACGCCCUUCUCAACCAGCUCACAGGCUCUGCCCUCAACCCCUUCUGCAGACGAGGUGACUGAGGGCCGGCAAGGAGAGUGACCGCUAAUGAGAGGACUCAGGCCCCGGAGCCAGGCUGGGGCACACACAACACCGUGGUGUCCCUCUAUCAUACCAAUACCGAAGAGUAGAGAGCUUUUUGGGUUUUUUUUCCUCAAAAAAAAAAUUUUUUUUUUUUUUUUGUAAGAUAGAUGUAUGCCCCAAGCUCUGCCCUGACUGUAGGGCUCUGUGCUCCAGAAGCUUACGGAACCCUGGGGUUGAGGCCCAAACAACAGUCAUCCCUGGGGAGUCAACAGGUUGGGCUGAUUUUUAAAAAACCUUGACCCUCUGGUGAAGGUUAAAGAUGGCUCUAUUUAGAGAAAGAAACACGAGUUUCUGUGAUGGGCCCUGUGGGUAGCUCACUCGGACUCCCUGCGAUCCCUUUUAAGGUCCUGUCUCCCCUUCCCCGGCUUCCACGUGUGGGUACCUGGGAACAUCCCCUGAGGGCCGCCCCGGGGCUUGUGAAACGCCUCACCAAAGAGCCAGGAGCAUCUGAGAGUCUACCUCUCAUCCGGAAGCAACUUACCCCCUAGAGGUGCCCACAGGUCCCUUUGGGAGCUUUGGGAUAAGGCUGAGACGGACUUUGUCCAAAACCGUCCCUACCUUGCUUUGUUUCUCCUCCUUCUCGGUCUUCUUCCCAAUCCCCUUAACCGUCUCCCCUAGGAGCGCCCCUGACCCAUCCCCUAGCACAAACCCAUGCCUCAGGGUUUACUUCUGGAAGGGACCCACCUCAGGGAGUUUCUUUCUUGCAGACCUCAUCAGAGCUUUUGACACGCUACAGAGAAGGAUGAUUUUCUAAGAGGGAGGAAAAGUAGCCAGUGUCUUGCCAACUCUUUCCACCCCAAUUAACAAAAGCGGUGGGCUAAUUUUAACCCCUUUUAUUACAACCCCCUGCCUGAGCUGGUGUCUUCACUGGGCUCCCCGGAGGCUGCCUGAACUGGAACAGAGGUCCAAGAGAUGGCUCAAGGGCCCACAGAAGUUCAGCAGGCUCUCCGGCACCCCAGUAAAUGGGCCCUGGGACUGUUGCCGAGGGCGGUGAAGGGCGGGGGGGGGGGGGGGGGGGAUGGGAGGUAAUGUGACCAAAGAAGUCAGAAAGCGUCAUUCCAAAGAAUUGUAAAAUUUAUUGUAUAAGUAUUGCAGCUUUUCAGAAAGUCAUCAUUGCCACUAAUGAUUAUUGAUACACAAGAAGCGAUUUCAUCAGGCCUGUGAAUUGGCAUCCAAAUACAGAGUCUCACGUGGCAGCAACGUGGGCGCCGCACCCAGCGUGCCACAGGGAAUUUACAUGAGUUUAACUUGAACAGACCUCGGGAAACAGGGCUGCAAAGGAGAGCGGCCUCAACGCCAAGAACGCAAGGUAAAAGCGUGCCAUGAGCACACCGCCGUGGAAUCGGGCAGGCAAACGAGAAGGCGUGUCCUCCUGGGCUCUAUAGUACAGCAAAAUUCGAAGCGCGGCUUCCAGGACAAACAAAACAAAACAAAACGACACUUGUAGUUUUCCUGAUCGCUGGGAUGUUUGUGGGCAUGUAGGAAACAAGUUCGGAAACAUACCAUUCACAGCGGAGACGAGGACAGGGGACAGACUCGGUUCUGGCACUGGCCUGGUGUUCACUAGACGUGGGGGGGCGAGGGGAGUCUCAGCUCCUUGCAAAGAACACUUUGUGGGGGACACGGGGGGCUCUAAGGGCCCCUGCUAAGUCGGCCUGCGGAGACCCGGGCUUUGGGGGGGGAGGGGGAAUGAUCUUCCUCGGGAGGAAAUGCGGUUGAGAAGCAGGGAAACGAGGACAAGAGAAAGCCCCACCCGGUCUCCCUCCAACCAGCCACUGCGGAGGACCCCAAACUUUUUACUGGCAAAAGGGGGCCUCCCGAGGGGUGCUCAGAGCCUUUUCAGCGACAAGGGCAUGGCGGCCAGCAUCUGGAGGGAACGAGUGCACCCCCAGAGACCAAGAGCUUAGUGCUAGCAGUUUCCAGAAACACCCCCCCCCCGGUUUUCUCGGGAUGCGCCCCGACUUCGCCCGGCCUCUCUGCCGGGAGCCUCUGCAAGGGGCCUGUGCUGGGCACGAAACCCCGGGGCCCUGCGGCCCAGCAGUCCCGGGAUGUGAUUGCGGAGACGCGCUCUGCCCUCAAGCCCGCUGAGGUCAGGAGCCCACCCUCCUGCUUCCUCCCACACAGGCCACACCGCCAGGAUCCACGCCGAGACCGGGGCCACGCCUGGGCCCGACAUUGCCCAGGCAGACGAGGUCGGCGUCCGGGCUCACAACCCGCCCGGGAGUUGGCACAGGACUGGACCCAGACAAAUUACACCGAGUUCUCAGCACGACUUGCGAAAAGCAUCCUCUCUGAGAGAGGAGCGAAGUUUAGGCCGAGGACCCCACGGAGAGGCAGCUUUUUAUCAAAGUACAAGAACCUUCUGCCAGGCUGGUCAGCAGCGAACGCCCAGAGUCCGCGUUUAUCUGUUGGUCACCACGCUCUUAAAAUGUGUAUAUAAAUAGAGUUCAAAUGGUCAGAACUUCAAAACUGUUCUCAGGUGUUUAAGUAAUAAAAAAGUUGCUUAGAAACAAG
Lynx canadensis (Canada lynx) is the source of this 4089-nucleotide long non-coding RNA. RefSeq lists it as uncharacterized. The record is from RefSeq and is a predicted model, not a curated record. The transcript has 2 exons. NCBI's taxonomy places the organism in Eukaryota, Metazoa, Chordata, Mammalia, Carnivora, Felidae.